Molecule: transfer RNA, 74 nt
Filed under: Pirellulaceae bacterium
Lineage: Bacteria; Pseudomonadati; Planctomycetota; Planctomycetia; Pirellulales; Pirellulaceae
Description: tRNA-His
Rfam family: tRNA
About the family: Transfer RNA (tRNA) molecules are approximately 80 nucleotides in length. Their secondary structure includes four short double-helical elements and three loops (D, anti-codon, and T loops).
Source: RNAcentral
GUGGCUGUAGCUCAGUUGGUUAGAGCGCUGGAUUGUGGUUCCAGAAGUCGAGGGUUCGAGUCCCUUCUGCCACC